UUAAGGUUACAAGAGCGCAAUUAUUUGUUUACAUUUAACCGGCAAGUUUUUUACCCCAAGAUGGUACUCAGAAUAGAAUCCUAUACGGCUUCUGAUUGGUUGAUACAGGAUUGGAAUUACAUUUAAUCGAAAGCUUAUCCAAUUAGGUUUAAAAAUUGCCGAAAAUCAUAUUCAUAUUUUACAAAGUAUAGAAAAUAUCUUUAAUUUCUGCACGUCGGAGCCAUUAAAAAUAUGCCUUUUUCAUUAAGCGAAAAAAGUAGACGAUCUUUUUCAACUGCAUUUUAAGUCAAUUUGAGCCGCAUGACCCUAUAUUUUUUUGUUGUUGUAAUGCAACACUGGCAUUUCUAGUAACAGGAACUGUCACCCGUUUUUCACUAGUUUGUGUAGUCUUUGAGAAAAAAAAUACGGAACACUAGUGGUAC
RNAcentral lists this long non-coding RNA (422 nucleotides) under Mytilus galloprovincialis (Mediterranean mussel). Lineage: Eukaryota; Metazoa; Mollusca; Bivalvia; Mytilida; Mytilidae. The record is from RNAcentral.